CCUAUCUGGUUGAUCCUGCCAGUAGCAUAUGCUUGUUUCAAAGGCUAAGCCAUGCAUGUCUAAGUACAGCCGUGUUUACACGGCGAUACCGCGGACGGCUCAUUAAAUCAGUCGUGGUCCAAAUGGGUCCGUCCAUACGGUAUACUUGGAUAACCGUGGUAAUUCCAGAGCUAAUACAUGCAACUCAUAUCCCGAGGUGCGCAAGCACCGACGGAAGCACUUAUUAGACCAAUGCCCUCGGUCAUCGUUGCGCCUUGUGCGUAACGCUCUGCCGCCCGCAUAAAUGGUGACUCUGGAUAAUUACCUGGACGAGCGCACGUAUCUGUUCAAGCAGAACGGCGCCGCCGCUUUCGAGUGUCUGCCUUAUCAGCCAUCAAUCGCUCGUUAUGUGCGAACGGUGGCUUUGACGGGUAACGGGGAAUCAGGGUUCGAUUCCGGAGAGGCAGCCUGAGAAACGGCUACCACGUCUAAGGACGGCAGCAGGCACGCAAAUUACCCAAUCCCAGAACUCUGGGGAGGUAGUGACGAAAAAUAACGAUGCGGGCGCCCCUUCUGGGGCCCCGCAAUCGGAAUGAGUAUGUCUUAAAUAACCUGACGAGAACCCACUGAAGGGCAAGUCUGGUGCCAGCAGCCGCGGUAAUUCCAGCUUCAGUAGCAUCUAUUAAAGUUGCUGCGGUUAAAAGGCUCGCAGUUGGAGCCACUGGUGUUUGGUAUAUGGAGUAGCUGGACGUUGGGUACCUCCGUGUCCCCGUCCUGUAUGUCUGCUCCUGACUCUAUGGCACUGAAUAUGGGAAAUCCUCUUUCGGUCUGAGCGUUUGCUGCAGGUUGGAUGUCUCUCUUUCGUCGGGGUUCGGUUCGCGCCGUUCUCUCGGUGGGAGCAGGAGCUCCUCCUGUGUUCUUAUUCGGAAGGGGUGGCUCCUGUGUCACCUUGAGUAAAUCAUGGUGCUCACAGCAGUCGUGCGGGCCUCGUGCCCUGUGAACAGUCUAUGCGGACUGAAUUGGUUUUGCAAGGCAUGACGGAACAUGACGUCGCUGCUGGUCGCGGGUGGGAGCGUUCACAAUGCACGCUCGCGUGUGUGUCGUUCGCUCUGUGGUUUGCCAGUAGUGACGUAAUGAUCAAUGGGGACGGUAGCUGGCAUUGGUAUUGCGCGGCGAGAGGUGAAAUUCUGCGACCCCCGCAAGACCUCCUAAAGCGAAGGCGUCUGCCAAGGACGUGUUCACCAAUCAUGAACGAAAGUCAGAGGAUCGAAGGCGAUCAGAUACCGCCCUAGUUCUGACCCUAAACGAUGCCAACCAUCAAUCCGCGUGGGCACCCUAUCUAACGGGCUCGGCGGGCAGCUCCCCACUACCGGGAAACCAGAGUUUAUGGGUUCCGGGGGGAGUCUGGUUGCAAAGCUGAAACUUAAAGGAAUUGACGGAAAGGCACCACCAGGCGUGGAGCCUGCGGCUUAAUUUGACUCAACGCGGGCCAUCUUACCAGGCCAGCACUCUGGCAUGAUUGACAGAUUGAGAGCUCUUUCUCGAUUCAGUGGACGGUGGUGCAUGGCCGUUCUUAGUUGGUGGAGUGAUCUGUCUGGUUAAUUCCGAUAACGAACGAGACUCUCCUCUGCUAAAUAGUCGGCUGGAUCUUGAAUUGCUGAGCUGCUCACGGCCUCGUUCGCGCGUGUGUCGGCUGCGUGGUUUUGGUGUGUGCUUUGCGGGUGUUUCGUUGCGCGCCUUCCUUCGGGGAGUGCGUUUGCGCGUGCGCUCGUGGGUCGCGCCUGCCGCGUUGGUUGUGCGCGUUGUCGGGCGGGUGUCUGUGGCACUCCAAGUCCGUCGGCUCACACCCGAUAUUGCUCGGGUUGUGUGGUGCAAGUUCUUCUUAGAGAGAUUGACGGCUCUGAAGCCGUACGAGAAUGAGAGCAAUAACAGGUCUGUGAUGCCCUCAGAUGCCCUGGGCCGCACGCGCGCUACAAUGCUGGACACAGCAGGUCUAACCUGCUCCGAGAGGAGCGGGUAACCCUGUCAAAGUCCUGAGUUGUAUAUCGGGCACCACUUUCGUGGUGCAUUGGGCGUGCUUGGGCCUGGGGCUUGCAAUUUUUUCCCACAAACAAGGAAUGCCUUGUAGUAGCGAGUCACUGAGCUCGCUGUGACUCAGUCCCUGCCCUUUGGACACACCGCCCGUCGCUACUACCGAUUGGGUGUACCAGUGAGACCCUUGACUGGCGUCCGGUGCCUCUGGCACCUGGGUCUGACGGAAAGAGGUUCGAACUGGUGCACUUAGAGGAAGUAAAAGUCGUAACAAGGUUUCCGUAGGUGAACCUGCGGAAGGAUCAUUA
Molecule: ribosomal RNA, 2318 nt
Filed under: Hyale nilssoni
Lineage: Eukaryota; Metazoa; Arthropoda; Malacostraca; Amphipoda; Hyalidae
Description: 18S ribosomal RNA
Rfam family: Eukaryotic small subunit ribosomal RNA
Source: RNAcentral